AUUUGAAAUCUGGCCCCCAGGGCCCGAGUUGUAAUUUGCAGAGGAUGCUUUUGGCGCGGUGCCUUCCGAGUUCCCUGGAACGGGACGCCAUAGAGGGUGAGAGCCCCGUCUGGUCGGACGCCUAGCCUGUGUAAAGCUCCUUCGACGAGUCGAGUAGUUUGGGAAUGCUGCUCUAAAUGGGAGGUAUAUGUCUUCUAAAGCUAAAUACCGGCCAGAGACCGAUAGCGCACAAGUAGAGUGAUCGAAAGAUGAAAAGCACUUUGAAAAGAGGGUUAAAUAGUACGUGAAAUUGUUGAAAGGGAAGCGCUUGUGACCAGACUUGGGCCCGGUGGAUCAUCCAGCGUUCUCGCUGGUGCACUCCGCCGGGUUCAGGCCAGCAUCAGUUCGCCGCGGGGGAAAAAGGCUUCGGGAACGUGGCUCCUACGGGAGUGUUAUAGCCCGUUGCAUAAUACCCUGGGGCGGACUGAGGUUCGCGCUCCGCAAGGAUGCUGGCGUAAUGGUCAUCAGCGACCCGUCUUG
Molecule: ribosomal RNA, 519 nt
Filed under: Purpureocillium lilacinum
Lineage: Eukaryota; Fungi; Ascomycota; Sordariomycetes; Hypocreales; Ophiocordycipitaceae
Description: partial large subunit ribosomal RNA
Rfam family: Eukaryotic large subunit ribosomal RNA
Source: RNAcentral